GAUGAACGCUGGCGGCGUGCCUAAUACAUACAAGUCGAGCGAACAGACGAGGAGCUUGCUCCUCUGACGUUAGCGGCGGACGGGUGAGUAACACGUGGAUAACCUACCUAUAAGACUGGGAUAACUUCGGGAAACCGGAGCUAAUACCGGAUAACAUGUUGAACCGCAUGGUUCAACAGUGAAAGACGGUCUUGCUGUCACUUAUAGAUGGAUCCGCGCCGCAUUAGCUAGUUGGUAAGGUAACGGCUUACCAAGGCAACGAUGCGUAGCCGACCUGAGAGGGUGAUCGGCCAUACUGGAACUGAGACACGGUCCAGACUCCUACGGGAGGCAGCAGUAGGGAAUCUUCCGCAAUGGGCGAAAGCCUGACGGAGCAACGCCGCGUGAGUGAAGAAGGUCUUCGGAUCGUAAAACUCUGUUAUUAGGGAAGAACAAAUGUGUAAGUAACUAUGCACGUCUUGACGGUACCUAAUCAGAAAGCCACGGCUAACUACGUG
RNAcentral lists this ribosomal RNA (497 nucleotides) under uncultured bacterium. RNAcentral's name for it is "partial 16S ribosomal RNA". It matches the Rfam family "Bacterial small subunit ribosomal RNA", at positions 28 to 507 of the family's 1533-position model. The record is from RNAcentral.